This 1716-nucleotide long non-coding RNA is filed under the name Homo sapiens (human). RNAcentral's name for it is "HSALNT0401017". The record is from RNAcentral. Lineage: Eukaryota; Metazoa; Chordata; Mammalia; Primates; Hominidae.
AGAGAGAAAUGUUCAACCAAAACAUUUGUUGGAUGAGUAAAAAAAGAAACAUGAUCCUUUCCCUCCUGAAGCUUACAGUCUAUCAUGGAAUGCAGACAAGUCAACAGAUCUUUAUCUUUCAUUAAUAAUCGAUAUAGAAAAUAUAAACAUAAGGUGCCAUGGAAGAAUAUCUUCAAUCAAAUCCAGCAAAAUACCUGUUCUCUACGCUAGGUGCACAGGUGUCUUGACUCAUUGCUGCCACACAUUGGCCACUCUCAUCGAAUUCAGAGGACUCAUGGAAACCACACACCCACUAGCUGUUCCCUCAGAAGCCCCUGAAUUACCAACAAAAAGCUGGUUCGUCUCGGCUACUGAGAAAUAAUUUGUCAUGUUUCAUCCCCUAAAUGAAAGAUGCCAGACUGAAUGCCCGUCUGAGAAAGGGACAGAGCAUGAGAUCUAACAAAGAACCUCAGCACUCAAAAAGUUUACCACUAAAAUGGAGUGACAAGGAAAGCAGGGGAAGAAAAAUCACUACUGGAAGUACUGCUACUAUCACCACUGCUCCUGGGAGGAAUCACCGCAGCAGCUGUUCAUCAAGUGCUUCCUGCAGCCAAUCACUAGGCUAAAAGCACCUGACAUGCCACAUCACAGCAGCUUGCUAACAAUAGCUGCUGUGAUUCUCACUUAACAAUAAAAGUGUGGCUCAGCGAGGCCAAGGAGCUUUUUCAAAAUCUUGUCACUAAUAAAUCUCAGAGUCCAGGCUUGAACCCAUGUCAACCUGACCCUAACGCCUUGGUCUUCACCUGAGUGCUUGCUAUGUGCCAGGCAUUGUCAACAGUACUUUAUAUUAAUUGUGUCACUUAAUUGUUAAACAGCCCUAUCAGUUCUCCAUCAAUAUUCCCUGAAGGGAAUGGGGCCUUGGAAAGAUUAGUGAACUGGACCCCUGACAUGAUCUCUUCCUUCCAAUACUUACAAUAAACUACUGUUUAGUAUGGAGAAGAAAGACUAGUGGAUAUUGAAGAACUGGCAGAAUAAACACUUGCAUAGAUGGAAGAUGUACAGAGGAUGUAUGCGAUACAGGACUUUAAAGAAUGCUGACAUCUUUGUGGCUGAAAUUAAUUGGAAAUUUUAAAGUAUUCAUUUCAUUUACCUCUGAUUCUAAAAAAUCCGUCCUGGAAUUUGGCACAUGUAUGGGAUAUGGAUAGAAAAUAAGAGCAAAGAGGAAUUCAAGAUAAUGAGGCAAUAUAAACAAAAGUUGAAAAGAGAAAAUGAGCAUGCAGUGCCUAGAGAUGCCAAGGAAUCCAGAUCACUGAGGUCGGAUAGAUGUGUCUUUCCAGAAUUUGAUGAGGUUAACCAGGUAGAGCCAGAUGGUAGAGAUCCUUGAAUACCAGGCAAGGGAGUUCAUCUCUCCACCUGUAAGCAUGAAGGAGCCACGGGAGAUUUUGCAAAGGGAAUGACCAAAACGAAAAUGGCAUUUAGGAAAUGAGUUUGCCAGAAGUACCUGGGAGAAAUGGGGACUAGGCACUGAGAAUGUAAUUCAUAGCACAGCAGAACAGAUACUAAAAGAUCGUUCUGGAAGCAGAAGGGCUGGUUUCCAGCUUUUCUGAGGUUGUUUCACUGUGGGUAACUGCUAAGGCCUUCACCCUUGAUGCCAGAGGUGCUGAAACACAUUGCCACACGGCGAAAGAAGUGCCCUAUUGGCCCAAACACAUUGAAUAAACAUCUACCUCAAACCUU